GAUGAAGAACGCAGCGAAAUGCGAUAAGUAAUGUGAAUUGCAGAAUUCAGUGAAUCAUCGAAUCUUUGAACGCACAUUGCGCCCGCCAGUAUUCUGGCGGGCAUGCCUGUCCGAGCGUCAUUUCAACCCUCGAACCCCUCCGGGGGGUCGGCGUUGGGGAUCGGCCCUUUCACCGGGUGCCGGCCCCUAAAUACAGUGGCGGUCUCGCCGCAGCCUCUCAUGCGCAGUAGUUUGCACACUCGCACCGGGAGCGCGGCGCGUCCACGUCCGUAAAACACCCCAACUUCUGAAAUGUUGACCUCGGAUCAGGUAGGAAUACCCGCUGAACUUAAGCAUAUCAUAAGCGAGGA
This 350-nucleotide unclassified non-coding RNA is filed under the name soil metagenome. RNAcentral describes it as "partial contains 5.8S ribosomal RNA, internal transcribed spacer 2, and large subunit ribosomal RNA". The stretch from base 1 to 120 matches the Rfam family "5.8S ribosomal RNA", at positions 35 to 154 of the family's 154-position model. The record is from RNAcentral.